This is a long non-coding RNA of Danio aesculapii, 458 nucleotides long. RefSeq lists it as uncharacterized. The record is from RefSeq and is a predicted model, not a curated record. Lineage: Eukaryota; Metazoa; Chordata; Actinopteri; Cypriniformes; Danionidae. The transcript has 3 exons.
AGAGCUGUUUUGGGUUGGAAUCAGUCAGCUACAUCUGGCAACACUGCGUGGCGCAAUGCAUUCAAAUAGAUGUAACGUUAACACAGCUGUAGGGCAUUUUAAGAAAAGAAAACGAAACCUUUUUGGCCGCAUUACAAAUACAGUAGUUACCGUUGAACUUUAGUGACACUUGUUGUGACGAAAAUAUGCGUGUUUUAAAAAAAGAUUAAUUUAAGAAGUAACCUGAAGCAGGUGAGGAGAUCAGCUGUGGUCCGCCGUCGGCGAGCGGCUCAUGACCAGACCAGUCGCUUUUCUCAUGACCAGACCAGUCGCUUUUUUUCCCACGAUCGCCGGAACUUUUACAACAUUUUAAAGCAGUUUCAGCUCAAAAUGGACCCACUAUCAGUUUGUGAGCUGAUAUGCAGUGGAAAUUGACAUCCAGAAGGAAGUCAUAAAGGAAACACCAGCUGAUACAAGUG